This 217-nucleotide unclassified non-coding RNA is filed under the name soil metagenome. RNAcentral describes it as "partial contains 5.8S ribosomal RNA, internal transcribed spacer 2, and large subunit ribosomal RNA". The record is from RNAcentral.
AACCUAGCACACCUGCGGUGUGUACCUGCGGAAGGAUCAUUACAAGUGACCCCGGUCUAACCACCGGGAUGUUCAUAACCCUUUGUUGUCCGACUCUGUUGCCUCCGGGGCGACCCUGCCUUCGGGCGGGGGCUCCGGGUGGACACUUCAAACUCUUGCGUAACUUUGCAGUCUGAGUAAACUUAAUUAAUAAAUUAAAACUUUUAACAACGGAUCU